This 602-nucleotide ribosomal RNA is filed under the name Mesorhizobium sp. AK42 3.1. RNAcentral describes it as "bacterial SSU rRNA". It matches the Rfam family "Bacterial small subunit ribosomal RNA", at positions 98 to 735 of the family's 1533-position model. Lineage: Bacteria; Pseudomonadati; Pseudomonadota; Alphaproteobacteria; Hyphomicrobiales; Phyllobacteriaceae. The record is from RNAcentral.
GCAGACGGGUGAGUAACGCGUGGGAAUCUACCCAUCUCUACGGAAUAACUCAGGGAAACUUGUGCUAAUACCGUAUACGCCCUUUUGGGGAAAGAUUUAUCGGAGAUGGAUGAGCCCGCGUUGGAUUAGCUAGUUGGUGGGGUAAUGGCCUACCAAGGCGACGAUCCAUAGCUGGUCUGAGAGGAUGAUCAGCCACACUGGGACUGAGACACGGCCCAGACUCCUACGGGAGGCAGCAGUGGGGAAUAUUGGACAAUGGGCGCAAGCCUGAUCCAGCCAUGCCGCGUGAGUGAUGAAGGCCCUAGGGUUGUAAAGCUCUUUCAACGGUGAAGAUAAUGACGGUAACCGUAGAAGAAGCCCCGGCUAACUUCGUGCCAGCAGCCGCGGUAAUACGAAGGGGGCUAGCGUUGUUCGGAAUUACUGGGCGUAAAGCGCACGUAGGCGGAUACUUAAGUUAGGGGUGAAAUCCCAGAGCUCAACUCUGGAACUGCCUUUAAUACUGGGUAUCUCGAGUCCGGAAGAGGUGAGUGGAAUUCCGAGUGUAGAGGUGAAAUUCGUAGAUAUUCGGAGGAACACCAGUGGCGAAGGCGGCUCACUGGUCC